AGCACCUGACCAGGAGAAGCAGGAAUAGCAGCAUGAACAAAAUUUGGAGAAUCAUUCUGUAGCCAUUUGACCUGCAGACAACUGAUCAAAUCAAAGAAGGCAGUGACUCGUGAAGAGUAGGGGCAGCCUGCUAUUUCUCGUUGGCAUUUUUACCAGUUUGCCUACAGGAUCUUUCAGCAGGCAGCAACAUGUGAGCCCACAGCUGACAGACACAGGAGGAAAAUAUACAAGAAGAAACGGAUGAGAGAGGCCACUUUAUGCUCAUUGGGUAGCGAUAGGCCAGUGGGAUCUGUCUUACUGGAAUAAUCCAUAGCAAGAUGGUGGAUAUGUUUUCCUUUAUUUUAAUUGUAACUAUUGAAGAUGUAUUCUAUAGUUUCGGACAUAAGUUGUGGGGCUUAGUGCAAAAUGAAAGUGGAGGAACACUUGUCUGAAAAGCAGGAAAAGAAUGUUAUUAAUG
This is a long non-coding RNA of Chinchilla lanigera (long-tailed chinchilla), 457 nucleotides long. RefSeq lists it as uncharacterized. The record is from RefSeq and is a predicted model, not a curated record. The transcript is spliced from 3 exons. Lineage: Eukaryota; Metazoa; Chordata; Mammalia; Rodentia; Chinchillidae.